This 592-nucleotide ribosomal RNA is filed under the name Listeria monocytogenes. Its description in RNAcentral is "partial 23S ribosomal RNA". It matches the Rfam family "Bacterial large subunit ribosomal RNA", at positions 1541 to 2132 of the family's 2925-position model. The record is from RNAcentral. Lineage: Bacteria; Bacillati; Bacillota; Bacilli; Caryophanales; Listeriaceae.
CGCUUCUCGCGAAGCAUGAGCUGUGAUGGGGAAGGAAAUUAAGUACGGAAGUUCCUGAUUUCACGCUGUCAAGAAAAGCCUCUAGGAAGAGUAGUACUGCCCGUACCGCAAACCGACACAGGUAGAUGAGGAGAGAAUCCUAAGGUGAGCGAGAGAACUCUCGUUAAGGAACUCGGCAAAAUGACCCCGUAACUUCGGGAGAAGGGGUGCUCUAUUAGGGUGCAAGCCCGAGAGAGCCGCAGUGAAUAGGCCCAGGCGACUGUUUAGCAAAAACACAGGUCUCUGCAAAACCGUAAGGUGACGUAUAGGGGCUGACGCCUGCCCGGUGCUGGAAGGUUAAGAGGAGUGCUUAGCUUCGGCGAAGGUACGAAUUGAAGCCCCAGUAAACGGCGGCCGUAACUAUAACGGUCCUAAGGUAGCGAAAUUCCUUGUCGGGUAAGUUCCGACCCGCACGAAAGGCGCAACGAUCUGGGCACUGUCUCAACGAGAGACUCGGUGAAAUUAUAGUACCUGUGAAGAUGCAGGUUACCCGCGACAGGACGGAAAGACCCCGUGGAGCUUUACUGCAACCUGAUAUGGAAUGUUUGUACCG